GUUGCGAUCCCUCUAGGGGUGAUGAGCGGAC
Thermobispora bispora DSM 43833 is the source of this 31-nucleotide non-coding RNA. NCBI's taxonomy places the organism in Bacteria, Bacillati, Actinomycetota, Actinomycetes, Streptosporangiales, Streptosporangiaceae. The record is from Rfam.